UACAGAGGGUGCAAGCGUUGUUCGGAAUUACUGGGCGUAAAGGGCGCGUAGGCGGCCACCGCAAGUCGGUUGUGAAAUCUCUGGGCUUAACCCAGAAAGGUCAACCGAUACUGCGGGGCUAGAGUGCAGAAGGGGCAACUGGAAUUCUCGGUGUAGCGGUGAAAUGCGUAGAUAUCGAGAGGAACACCUGCGGCGAAGGCGGGUUGCUGGGCUGACACUGACGCUGAAGCGCGAAAGCUAGGGGAGCGAACGGG
Molecule: ribosomal RNA, 254 nt
Filed under: uncultured bacterium
Lineage: Bacteria
Description: partial 16S ribosomal RNA
Rfam family: Bacterial small subunit ribosomal RNA
Source: RNAcentral